Molecule: ribosomal RNA, 460 nt
Filed under: uncultured bacterium
Lineage: Bacteria
Description: partial 16S ribosomal RNA
Rfam family: Bacterial small subunit ribosomal RNA
Source: RNAcentral
CCUACGUGAGGCAGCAGUGAGGAAUAUUGGUCAAUGGCCGGAAGGCUGAACCAGCCAUGCCGCGUGAAGGUCAGUGCCCUAUGGGCGUUAAACUUCUUUUGUGCGGGAGCAAUAAUGGUCACGUGUGGCCAGACGAGAGUACCGGACGAAUCAGCAUCGGCUAACUCCGUGCAAGCAGCCGCGGUAAUACGGGGGAUGCAAGCGUUAUCCGGAUUUAUUGGGUUUUAAGGGUGCGUAGGCUGUGAGGUAAGGCAGCGGUGAAAUGCCCCCGCGCAACGGGGUGAAGUGCCAUUGUUACUGCCUUGCUGGAAGGCGGAUGCCGUUGGAGGAAUGUGUGGUGUAGCGGUGAAAUGCAUAGAUAUCACACAGAACAGCGAUUGCGAAGGCAUCUCACGAAUCCGCGAUUGACGCUGAUGCACGAAAGCGUGGGUAUCAAACAGGAUUAGAUACCCUAGUAGUC